CCCCAGUUCAAUGUGUUUUGAUAAAUAUAUACAGUUAUUUAAACACCACCACAAUCAAGAUGGAACAUUUCCAUCACUCCAGAAUUCUCUCUUGUACUUCUUUUCAGAAAACCAAGAUCAGAAAUACAAACUGAAAUCAAGAAAAUGUUUUUGUGACAAACAUCCCCACCUGUGUGGUGUCCCUUUCAACUGAGCUUGGCAUACUUCCUCAGCCAAGGUAAGCAUUACCACUGUCCCGAGACCUCCCAGGUUUCUGACAACAUAGGGCGACUAAUAAAGAAAACUUCCUAAAAACAAAAAACAAACCAAAAACAAAAAAGAAAACUGUUCCUCUUAUGCCCCCAUGUAAUCAAUGUAAAUUGUGAAGACCUAAUAAUUCGGACUCUGCUUUAGGAUUUAUUUUUAUAACUAUUGUAAUAAGUUUAUCUUCAUACAUGUAAAUUCAUGUAUGAAGAUAAAAUAUAAACAGAACAUGUUUUAUUUGCUUAUCAAGAACC
This 497-nucleotide long non-coding RNA is filed under the name Mustela putorius furo (domestic ferret). Its description in RNAcentral is "lncRNA (ENSMPUG00000027184.1)". The record is from RNAcentral. Lineage: Eukaryota; Metazoa; Chordata; Mammalia; Carnivora; Mustelidae.